Molecule: long non-coding RNA, 530 nt
Filed under: Capsicum annuum
Lineage: Eukaryota; Viridiplantae; Streptophyta; Magnoliopsida; Solanales; Solanaceae
Description: long non-coding RNA (CANN_LNC016169)
Source: RNAcentral
AUCAACCACUAUUCCCUGUCCUGUCGUUGAAAAAGUCAUUCAAACCAACAAAAUUUCGCUGGUAAAACACCAAGUCUGCCGGUAACAAGUCCGGCGACCCUCAGCCAAGUCAACCGCUGCCGCAACCCCUAUUUUCCUCUUUUUCGUCAUCGACGUCACCCUUUUCCCCCUUUUCCAUCAACAGAAACUGAAGGAUAACAUGUGCGCCAUCCCCUUCUCUUCUCCCUUUUCCAUUUGCUGCCAUCAUCAUUGGCCGGCGACUCGACGACCAAGCAUGCCAGAUCCGGCGGUCCAUCUCAAAAUUUGCCGAAAAUGGUAUAAAUCGGACGACAAUUUUUUUCCAUCACCUAAUUCACCGAAAAAUAUGCCAACCAAACCCACCCAAAACUGAUCAUUCUUGUGUUAGUUCCGGUGCACUUUCGCCGGAAUCGCCAUUAGUUAUCACCGUCAGCGGGUUUAAGUGAAUUCUAACCAUAUUGUCGCAUAUAGGAGGAUCAGGGAAUAAAAGAAAAUAUUAUGUUUGCUGAUGG